CUGGACCUUGGCGCCCCUCCCACAGGCGGCGAGUUCAGUGUGGCUGGCCCCAGGGAGCUCGGAUAGGAAGCGAAAGGGGGCCGGGAUGCCAGGCACGGGGUCCAGAAGACAAGGCUCCCACAAUCCUCCGGCCAGCUCCCUCGCUAUCACAACCCUAAGAUCCGCCCCAGGGGACGGAGACCUCCCGUACAGAGCCCAGUGGGAACGGCGCCAGACCCCAUACCUGGGAGGAGGAGCUCAACCAGGGCGUGACCCCGGCACGCAAGGAGUAACAGCAGGUUUGAGGUCUGAGGGUGACAAGCUACCAAGACCCCAGAAAAGGUGCCGGUUCUGGUGGAGCCUCGGACUCCCCAGGACACAGACGCCGGGGUCCCACGGAGGCUAAAGCUGUCCAAGCCUGUGGCCGGGGUGCCCACAAGGACUCGGACGCAAGGAUCCCCGGAGCACCCAGACAGUACCUGGCACAGAAAAGACUCAACAAAGGUGCUACAAAUGAAUGAAUGAACAGGAAUGAAUGAAUGAAGAGGAAGAUGGAUACUACCUCUUGCACUGUCACCAGAGGAACAGGAAGAACACCUCAGGCUCGUAAAAAGUCAGAAAAUGCAGGACACAGGACAGCAGAGUAGCAAUGGUAUAUUUACCAAGUAAUUAUCAGCUAUCAUAAUGCUAAGCUAAGGGGCUGACUCACUCCUAAGCAAGAUCUGGGUUCCUCUGAAGUGGCAUCAACCUGCCAGAACCUCAACACAGGCUCCCCUGAAGGGCUGAGGUGUGGGUGUAAAGUCCCUGCACUCCCCAGAUGGAAAGGAGCCCAUCAGAGCCGAAGGAUAUGAGUCCAGAUCCUCCAGUUUCAGAAACACCUGGCUGUGCCCGAGGCGUGUAUGAAAGAGGCAGGUGCAGGGGCACCAUUCACUCAACCGGUAUUACUUUAAGUCCCUGUGCCCUCGGUUUCUUAUCAGUCUGAACAUACACGUACCAUACAGCCCUCCCACCCCGAGAUAUUUACCCAAGACGAUGAGAGCACAUGCAUGCAUAGGCUUAUACACAAAUGCUCAUAGCAGCUUCAUUCAUGGUAGCCAAAACCUGGGAAUAAUCAAAAUGUCCAUCAGCAGGAAAAGGGAUAAACAGAUUGCGAUUUACCUCCACAGUGGAAUACAAGUCGGCAAUGAAAAGGAGCAAACUACUGAUACAGGCACCAGCCCAGAGGAAAUUCAGAAGCAUUAGCUUUGAGGGGAGAAAACAAGCCAGACCACAAAAGACCACAUACUGUAGUGAUUCCAUUUCUAUGACAUUCUAGAAGAGCCCUAACUGGAAUGGCAUGAGCAGAUCCCUGGUGGCCAGGAUCAGGGGGUGGAAGGAGGGGAUUGCCUUGGGAGGGGCAUGAAGGAACUUUUCAGGGUGAUGGAAUGGGUCUAAAUUUGGGUUUUCGUGGUCACAAGCCUGUCCAACAGCCAUCCAAAUUCAUUGAAGGGUGCACUUAAAAUUGGUAAAUUGGUCAAUUUUCUGUAAAUUAUUCCUCAGUAAAGCUGAUAUGUGAAAAAGCCCUGCCCUCCUAGGGCUUACAUAGCAGCAGGGGAGGAAAGACAGGCAACAGGCAAAGUCAACGUAAAAUAGUGAGGAACCAGACGGUUCUAGGUGCCAAAGAACAACAGUGGGAAGCAAGGGAGGAGAGAGGGGCAUCUCAUUUCACAGGUGUGGCCAGAAGAGGCCUCCAUGAGAAAACCUGGCCCCCAAAGCUAAUUCAGUGAGUCUACAGGAAACCCAAGAUCCCCAGGUGAUGCGUUUGGGAAUGCAGAGCUGGUACAAAGGUCUCAUGUACAGAAGGGAAAAUUGAGGACCAGAAAGGGGCAAAGACUAAGUCAAGGUCAUAAAGGAGACCAGGGUGCGCCUCAGGUCUCUGCUGCAAGUCUGGAGCCUUCUCCCAUAUGGCCUCAGCCUUUCCUGCCUUGAGCCAUCUGUCUUCAGCUGCUAGAGCACAAGUUACAGCUGUUGUGGGAGAACCAGGAUGCAGAGAGGUCAAAUGCUGGCCUGGCUGAGAGGAUGGGGUUGUGUUGGCCACAGGGAAGGUCCUCCCUUCAUCCCCACCCAUGCUGUGACCCCCAAAGUUGCAAGCCACAGACACAACAGGUGAGAGGCUGCAGGAGAUGGGGGUCAUGUCUUAAUUACCACCCAUGCUAGACCCUGAGAUGUGUGUUGAUGCAGGAGGGGCAAGUUUUCUGAGACAGGCAGAGUUGAGGGCACCUGCUCAGCACUCCCCUCCCCACCGGGUCUAGUGUGUAUCAGCCUCCAGAAUCAUCUGGAUCAUGGUGGGUGCAGACAGGCCGCCAAAGCUGCUGCAGAGAAUGUUUCUUUUGGCCCACACAGGGCUUUAAAAUAAUUUAAAUUCAUUAUGACAAUUUAAAAGCUGGAGUUUACAUGUGAAAAUCUAUACUUUGAACUUCUCUAGAAAAAAAUUGGAAGAUUUGGAAUCCCCACACCUCCUAUGCGUUCAUUCAUUUAUUCAUUCACCAUUUACUGAGCAGCUACUAUAUGCCUGGCAUGGUUCUAACCAGGUGGGGCUACAUCACUGAACAAAAUAGACAAAGUUCUGUUCUAUUGGAGUUUAUGUUCUAUCAAGAGGAACAGAUGGUAAGCAAUAACUAUAACAUAUAUGUAAAUUAUACAAUACUUGAGAUGAUGAUAUAAGAGCCCCAUGAGGGGAAGUAGGGAUCUCAGGGGAGGGGAAGUUGUCAUUUUAAUUAUGAAUUAAUUUAAUCAGAUCUUGAACGCAUUUAACUUUCGAGAGUAGUGCAGUAAAAAUAUAAUGUAAACCACAUACAUAAGUCUAAGCAGCCACAUUUAAAAGAGUGAAAAGGAA
This is an RNA transcript of Artibeus jamaicensis (Jamaican fruit-eating bat), 2854 nucleotides long. RefSeq lists it as uncharacterized. The record is from RefSeq and is a predicted model, not a curated record. The transcript is spliced from 3 exons. Lineage: Eukaryota; Metazoa; Chordata; Mammalia; Chiroptera; Phyllostomidae.